UACGUAGGGUGCGAGCGUUGUCCGGAAUUAUUGGGCGUAAAGGGCUCGUAGGCGGUUUGUCGCGUCGGGAGUGAAAACCAGGUGCUUAACACCUGGCUUGCUUUCGAUACGGGCAGACUAGAGGUAUUCAGGGGAGAACGGAAUUCCUGGUGUAGCGGUGAAAUGCGCAGAUAUCAGGAGGAACACCGGUGGCGAAGGCGAUUCUCUGGGAAUGACCUGACGCUGAGGAGCGAAAGUGUGGGGAGCGAACAGG
RNAcentral lists this ribosomal RNA (253 nucleotides) under uncultured bacterium. RNAcentral's name for it is "partial 16S ribosomal RNA". It matches the Rfam family "Bacterial small subunit ribosomal RNA", at positions 524 to 776 of the family's 1533-position model. The record is from RNAcentral.